This 567-nucleotide ribosomal RNA is filed under the name uncultured Alphaproteobacteria bacterium. Its description in RNAcentral is "bacterial SSU rRNA". It matches the Rfam family "Bacterial small subunit ribosomal RNA", at positions 38 to 651 of the family's 1533-position model. Lineage: Bacteria; Pseudomonadati; Pseudomonadota; Alphaproteobacteria. The record is from RNAcentral.
GGCGGCAUGCCUAACACAUGCAAGUCGAACGGGACCUUCGGGUCUAGUGGCGCACGGGUGCGUAACGCGUGGGAAUCUGCCCUCAGGUACGGAAUAACUCAGGGAAACUUGAGCUAAUACCGUAUAAUGACUUCGGUCCAAAGAUUUAUCGCCUGAGGAUGAGCCCGCGUAGGAUUAGCUUGUUGGUGAGGUAAAAGCUCACCAAGGCGACGAUCCUUAGCUGGUCUGAGAGGAUGAUCAGCCACACUGGGACUGAGACACGGCCCAGACUCCUACGGGAGGCAGCAGUGGGGAAUAUUGGACAAUGGGCGAAAGCCUGAUCCAGCAAUGCCGCGUGAGUGAUGAAGGCCUUAGGGUUGUAAAGCUCUUUUACCCGGGAUGAUAAUGACAGUACCGGGAGAAUAAGCUCCGGCUAACUCCGUGCCAGCAGCCGCGGUAAUACGGAGGGAGCUAGCGUUGUUCGGAAUUACUGGGCGUAAAGCGCGCGUAGGCGGCUUUGUAAGUUAGAGGUGAAAGCCCGGAGCUCAACUCCGGAACUGCCUUUAAAACUGCAUCGCUUGAAUCCAG